ACAGGUAUAGCUGAGUGGUAGAUUAGGUGCUUAGCAUGCACAAGGUCCUGGGUUCAAUCCCCAGUACCUCUA
RNAcentral lists this transfer RNA (72 nucleotides) under Camelus bactrianus (Bactrian camel). It matches the Rfam family "tRNA". From Rfam's summary of the family: Transfer RNA (tRNA) molecules are approximately 80 nucleotides in length. The record is from Rfam by way of RNAcentral. RNAcentral also lists the same sequence under 1 other name. Lineage: Eukaryota; Metazoa; Chordata; Mammalia; Artiodactyla; Camelidae.